CCUACGGGUGGCAGCAGUGGGGAAUAUUGGGCAAUGGGCGCAAGUCUGACCCAGCAACGCCGCGUGAAGGAAGAAGGCUUUCGGGUUGUAAACUUCUUUUAAGAGGGACGAGCAGAAGACGGUGCCUCUUGAAUAAGCCACGGCUAACUAAGUGCAAGCAGCCGCGGUAAUACGUAGGUGGCAAGCGUUGCCCGGAUUUAUGGGGUGUAAAGGGCGUGUAGCCGGGCUGACAAGGCAGAUGUGAAAUCCGGGGGCUCAACCCCCGAACUGCAUUUGAUACUGUUGGUCUUGAGUAUCGGAGAGGCAGGCGGAAUUCCUAGUGUAGCGGUGAAAUGCGUAGAUAUUAGGAGGAACACCAGUGGCGAAGGCGGCCUACUGGACGACAACUGACGGUGAGGCGCGAAAGCGUGGGGAGCAAACAGGAGUAGAUACCCUGGUAGUC
This 442-nucleotide ribosomal RNA is filed under the name uncultured bacterium. RNAcentral's name for it is "partial 16S ribosomal RNA". It matches the Rfam family "Bacterial small subunit ribosomal RNA", at positions 338 to 795 of the family's 1533-position model. The record is from RNAcentral.